AUAGCGCAUAGUACCGUGAGGGAAAGGUGAAAAGAACCCCGGGAGGGGAGUGAAAAAGAACCUGAAACCCUGUGUUUACAAGCAGUGAAAGUGCGAGCAAGGCACGAUCACGUACUUUUUGUAGAACGGACCGGCGAGUUACGUUAUGCAGCAAGGUUAAGAACUGAAGGUUCGGAGCCGAAGCGAAAGCGAGUCUGAACAGGGCGAUAGUUGCAUGACGUAGACCCGAAACCGGGUGACCUAUCCAUGAGCAGGUUGAAGUGGAGGUAAAGCUCCAUGGAGGACCGAACCAGACGUCUGUUGAAAAAGGCGGGGAUGACUUGUGGAUAGGGGAGAAAUUCCAAUCGAACCCGGAGAUAGCUGGUUCUCCUCGAAAUAGCUUUAGGGCUAGCCUCAUGGAUCAUUGAUGGGGGUAGAGCACUGAAUGUGCGCGGGGGCCACAAAGCCUACCAAACGCUAUCAAACUUCGAAUACCAUACAAUGCAGACCAUGGGAGUCAGUCCGCGAGAGAUAAGUUCCGCGGGCAAAAGGGGAACACCCCAGAUCAACCGCUAAGGUCCCCAAGUUCACGUUAAGUGGAGAAGGAUGUGGAAUUGCACAGACAACCAGGAUGUUGGCUCAGAAGCAGCCACACAUUUAAAGAGUGCGUAAUAGCUCACUGGUCGAGUGAUUGUGCGCCGAAGAUGUCCGGGGCUAAACGUGACACCGAAGCGAUGGGUGCAUCUGAAAGGAUGCGCGGUAGAGGAGCAAUGUGCAGAGGCAGAAGCCGUAUCGAGAGGCACGGUGGACACUGCACAAGAGAGAAUGCCGGUAUGAGUAGCGAGAGGCAUGCGAGAAACAUGCCCGUCGAAAGCCCAAGGUUUCCUGGGGAAGGUUCAUCCGCCCAGGGUAAGUCGGGGCCUAAGCCGAGGACGGAAGUCGUAGGCGAUGGACAGCAGGUGUAGAUUCCUGCACUACCGAUGGAAUGAAGCAGUGACACAGAAGGAUAACUCGAGCAGGGUGAUGGUCAACCCUGUGCAAGCAUCAAGGUUGGGUUGUAGUGAAGUACGCAAUCCUAUAAGCUGAGGUGUGAUGCGGACCGAAAUUUCAGUAGGGAAGCGAGUGAGUUCACGCUGGCGAGAAAAGCUGCUAGUACAUCCAAAGGUACCCGUACCGGAAACCGACGCAGGUGGGCGAGGAGAGAAUCCUGAGACGAACGGGAGAACCCUUGUUAAGGAACUCGGCAAAAUGACCCCGUAACUUCGGGAUAAGGGGUGCCUGCGAGAGCAGGCCGCAGAGAAUAGUCACAAGCGACUGUUUAGCAAAAACACAGGUAUCUGCGAAAGCGAGAGCUGACGUAUAGGUGCUGACACCUGCCCGGUGCUGGAAGGUUAAGGGAACAUGUUAGAGCAAUCGAAGCAUCGAACCGAAGCCCCAGUAAACGGCGGCCGUAACUAUAACGGUCCUAAGGUAGCGAAAUUCCUUGUCGGGUAAGUUCCGACCCGCACGAAUGGUGUAACGACUUGUGAGCUGUCUCAACAGGGGGCCCGGUGAAAUUGAAGUAUGGGUGAAGAUGCCCAUUACCCGCGACUGGACGGAAAGACCCCGUAGAGCUUUACUGCAGCCUGAUAUUGAGUUUCGGUAACUGAUGCACAGGAUAGGUGGGAGUCUGAGAGACAUGGGUUUCGGCUCAUGUGGAGACGAUGUUGGGAUACCACUCUUCGGUUACUGAAAUUCUAACAUAGCUCUGUGAAACCAGAGGAUGGACAGUGUCAGGUGGACAGUUUGACUGGGGCGGUCGCCUCCGAAAGAGUAACGGAGGCGCCCAAAGGUACCCUCAGAAUGGAUGGAAACCAUUCGAAGAGCGCAAAGGCAGAAGGGUGCCUGACUGCGAGAUUGACAAAUCGAGCAGAGACGAAAGUCGGGCUUAGUGAUCCGGCGGUAUUGAGUGGAAAAGCCGUCGCUUAACGGAUAAAAGCUACCUCGGGGAUAACAGGCUGAUCUCCCCCAAGAGUCCACAUCGACGGGGAGGUUUGGCA
RNAcentral lists this ribosomal RNA (2018 nucleotides) under human gut metagenome. RNAcentral describes it as "bacterial LSU rRNA". It matches the Rfam family "Bacterial large subunit ribosomal RNA", at positions 487 to 2523 of the family's 2925-position model. The record is from RNAcentral.